CCUCCAUUCUCUCUCCCCAAACCUGAAACCCUAAAGGUUAAUGUUGCAUGCAUGUGAUCUAAUAGCCAUGCAUGACUUUGAUCUUGUGUUCUAGGGUUCAUGAGAGGCUUGUACGGGUAGUACCUCAAGGAUUUAGCACUAUGGUGAUCUAGUGAUGGCAAGUUUUGAGAGUUUAGAGCACUAAGGGAAGGUUUUGAAGAGCUAAGGAACACAUCUCCAAACUAGGGCUUUGAAAGGUAAGUGCAAAAGCAAAAUGGAGCAGUGAGCGCCGGAGUCUGCUUGUGGAUAUGUACAUGUGGCUUGACCUGGGGGAGGUUUUUGAUGGAUCACCAUUUUGAAAAGAAAGAGCUGGAAGUUUGUUAUUUCUUUUGGAAUAAUUUUUUUGACAUAACUCUGUGGAAGAGAAGUUGUAUUUCUGCUUGCUAAACUAAAAGUGUGCGCACACGACAUUUUGAAUUAUUUUUUUAUAUGGAUUUUGGUUCAAUGAUUUAAAGUAAAAGUUUAGAUU
Long non-coding RNA from Humulus lupulus (European hop), 508 nucleotides. RefSeq lists it as uncharacterized. NCBI's taxonomy places the organism in Eukaryota, Viridiplantae, Streptophyta, Magnoliopsida, Rosales, Cannabaceae. The transcript has 3 exons. The record is from RefSeq and is a predicted model, not a curated record.